Molecule: ribosomal RNA, 460 nt
Filed under: uncultured bacterium
Lineage: Bacteria
Description: partial 16S ribosomal RNA
Rfam family: Bacterial small subunit ribosomal RNA
Source: RNAcentral
CCUACGGGAGGCAGCAGUGAGGAAUAUUGGUCAAUGGGCUUACGCCUGAACCAGCCAAGUCGCGUGAGGGAAGACUGCCCUAUGGGUUGUAAACCUCUUUUGUCAGGGAGCAACGCCGGCUACGUGUAGCCGGACUGAGAGUACCUGAAGAAAAAGCAUCGGCUAACUCCGUGCCAGCAGCCGCGGUAAUACGGAGGAUGCGAGCGUUAUCCGGAUUUAUUGGGUUUAAAGGGUGCGUAGGCGGAAUGCCAAGUCAGCGGUAAAGUCGCGGGGCUCAACCUCGCUCCGCCGUUGAAACUGGCGUUCUUGAGUGGGCGAGAAGUGUGUGGAAUGCGUGGUGUAGCGGUGAAAUGCAUAGAUAUCACGCAGAACUCCGAUUGCGAAGGCAGCAUACCGGCGCCCAACUGACGCUGAAGCACGAAAGCGUGGGUAUCGAACAGGAUUAGAUACCCCUGUAGUC